GGGGAAGAGGAAUGUGCUGAGUGGAGUGUGUUGUUUUUGAUUAUUAUCUUUAUGCCAUUUGCUUACAGGAUUAUGGAAAGAAGGACUGAAAAAGGUGACUGGAUCUACUCAAGAGAAAGGCAUUUAAAAAUGCAAAAUGAACAGGUGCAAAGGCCCGAAGCCCAGAAAAAGAGAAGCUCUAAUUAGAAUUGGGAAACUCAAUAUGGAGCCUAAGGGAAAGAGAAUCAAUGGCUAGCUAGCCACAUUCCAGUUCCCCACAGUUGUCUGAACCUGGCUAUAGACCUGACAUCUUUGCAAGCAUGACAUCGUACAAGGUGCCUGGCAGAACCAAAGACACAGAACCCCUGCCUAAGGAGAAGUGCAGAGGUGAGGAGAUGCAGCUGUGGGCCGAUGUGUGGCGUAUCCUUGGGUAGCAGGAACGUGUGAGGCGGUGGCAAAUGGUGUGGCGUGACCUGAGCCAGCAGAGAAGGCGUCAAAGGUAGGCUGGGCCGGGUGAUGAAGGAUCUUCAUUAGACGCUGAGGAAGUGCUCUACGCGAGGGUUUUGUUCUUGUUUUUUCAGUUAGAGUUUCCUACUACACCAGUAACAUCCACACACACUUCUGAGAUCUGCAAACAGCAUACAAUGAAAAGAGAUUUGGCACCACAGUUUCUCUGUUCUGCAGCCCCUCUCCCGGGAAACGGCCGUGAUCACCAACUUCUCGUGCAUCUUUGUGAGAAUAUUCUAUGUAUAACUAUCUUCUUUCUUCUUCCUUUGUUGAACACACAGGAGCAUACGAUGCGAACUCGUGUCUUGAGAUCGUCCCCUAUCAGUACAUUUGGCACACUCAGAUCUGUCUCAUUCUUUUCUUCAGCUCCAUGUUUUCCAAUUCUGUGGUUGAAUCCUGGUUUAGUUAACCAAUCCACUAAUCAUAGACAUUCAAUGUGUUGCCAGUCAGUACACAGUGCUGAUUUGAAGAUUCUCAUCUUUGAAAACGUGCAAGUAUUACUUACAGGAGAUAACCCUUGGGGUGGCAUUUCUGUGCCCCUGGGAAGGAAUGUCAGUAGGGGAAGGCCACGGACAAGCAAGUGGGCCUUUGCAAGCCACCAGUCUGGCAGCUGUGUUGCAGAAUCCUGCGGAUGGAGGAGCCCUCGGAAGUGAGGAGACUGGGAGUCUCUUGUAUCUCUUUGGGAGGGAACCCUGGAGAGAGCGGCUGAAAGCUCAGCCAGCUGACCCCUGGAGCAGUUUACAGAUGGAAUCCCUGAGAGCCUCGCACACCCUCUCUGACCGCACUCCCUUUUCCCCCAGGCUUUCUGUUUCCCCCCAAGUUCUUUUGAGCAGGUAGCUCACACCUGUGAGCAGAAGGUGUCUGUGGCGACUUUGUCUUUGGGGGUAAAGCUCUAUGUGGUUAGUAUUCUGAAAUCAGUAACGACAGAGGAUUGAAGGAGCCCAUGAGCAGUGGGGAGAAGUGGGGAGAAAAACCUUUGCAAAAGUGCUCCAAAGUGACCGUCCGGGUUACCUUGGUGCUGGCGUGUGCUCUCGGUCCUACCUGUGGAUGGUGGAUGGCGCUGUCUAUCUGCGUGUCUUUUGUUGCCCUCUUUUCUUUUUCUUUUUUUAUACCAAUAAAAGCACACUUACUUACUAUCCUUUGCAUUCGAGGGUAACUACCGUACCCUCAUUAAGCCCCGUGACUUCUUUCAUUCCUCGUCUAGUCAUAAUCUUAAUUACCCCUGCUUAAAAAAGCUUAACCUACUUAAAGGAGCAAUAACAAACUAAUCCUAGUUUGACAACACAUGCACAUUGCAUCUGGCAUGAGGAGCAGCAGGCCCUCCCCGCAUCUCUCUCCGCGGCCUCUGAGCGGAAAAUGCAGGGAAGUGAAGGCGCGGGUGGUCAGCCGUCCUCUUUUCUCCCUUUCUCUCCCUCCUGGAGUCCCUUUUGGGUCUGCGCUCACUCGCUCCAACCCUGAGCUCCAGACAGCUCCGCGGCCACGGGCCCCAGGGCCGGCAGCCUUACGUAACCCGGAAAUGAAGCAGAAGUGCUCCUGGUGUGGCUGCAAGUCGAUUAGAGUUUGAGAAACAUAAAACUGAAAGCCAAAGAAGAUCGGCUGCCAGUCACACAGCGUGCCCUUCUGCCAGGGCACGCCUGCUCCCGAUGAUACGUACGCCAGUGUUUAUUCUGCUCUGGAAAAAAAUAAUGUCCCAAGUGGUGCAGCUCACACCACUUGGGCUCAGAGGGAGACCCAGCGCCUCGCAGGCCUGUGCGGCACUCAGCAGGCAGGUUUG
Long non-coding RNA from Ailuropoda melanoleuca (giant panda), 2260 nucleotides. RefSeq lists it as uncharacterized. The record is from RefSeq and is a predicted model, not a curated record. The transcript is spliced from 3 exons. NCBI's taxonomy places the organism in Eukaryota, Metazoa, Chordata, Mammalia, Carnivora, Ursidae.